RNAcentral lists this ribosomal RNA (487 nucleotides) under uncultured bacterium. RNAcentral's name for it is "bacterial SSU rRNA". It matches the Rfam family "Bacterial small subunit ribosomal RNA", at positions 28 to 507 of the family's 1533-position model. The record is from RNAcentral.
GACGAACGCUGGCGGCGUGCUUAAUACAUGCAAGUCGAGCGAGGUUACUGUUUCGGAUCCCUUCGGGGUGAAGAAGCUUUAACCUAGCGGCGGACGGGUGAGUAACGCGUGGGUAACCUACCCCAAAGUCCGGGAUAACAGCGGGAAACCGCUGCUAAUACCGGAUGCCUUUACCUUGGGGCAUCUUGAGGUAAAGAAAGGCAACGCUUUGGGAUGGGCCCGCGUCCCAUUAGCUAGUUGGUGAGGUAACGGCUCACCAAGGCGACGAUGGGUAGCCGGCCUGAGAGGGUGGACGGCCACACUGGGACUGAGACACGGCCCAGACUCCUACGGGAGGCAGCAGUAGGGAAUAUUGCGCAAUGGACGGAAGUCUGACGCAGCGACGCCGCGUGAGCGAUGAAGGUCUUCGGAUCGUAAAGCUCUGUCCUUGGGGAAAAGGUCUUCGGACUUGACGGUACCCAAGAACGAAAGCCCCGGUAACUACGUG